Mauremys reevesii (Reeves's turtle) is the source of this 427-nucleotide long non-coding RNA. RefSeq lists it as uncharacterized. The transcript has 3 exons. Lineage: Eukaryota; Metazoa; Chordata; Testudines; Geoemydidae. The record is from RefSeq and is a predicted model, not a curated record.
AGCUGCCAUUUUAGCUGAGGGCAUCUUGGAUUCAAUCAUAUGAAAAGUAAUGGGAGACAGCAGCCAUUUUGAAGCAGUUUGCUGCCCAGCUUCUAGAGACAAAAAUCUUUAAAGAAACAAAACAAAACAAACCCUAAACUUUUAACCAGGAGGGAUCCUAGAGGCAGUGGAACUGGAGCGGAUCCAAGACUCAGGUGGAAGAGACAGGGAGUACUUCUGGAGCCCACAAAGGGGGUCCACAUCAGCUGCACAUUGCAAAGUCCAGCUCCCCAAAGGAACUGGAGAAUCACCACACAGCCAGGCUGGCGUCUGUGCAGGAAAAGGUCCCAGGAUUUCAACUUCAUCUUCGCUCGACUGACAACAGCUACAGUCAAAACACUUCUGACAACAAUUUCUACAAGUCCAUCUGCACAGCAAGAGAUCCGAG